AUUAAUUAUGAUGUUGCCAGAGUAACGGCAAAUGUUAAAAGACUUAAUUUGAAUAAGGGAUAUAUAGUUGAACUAGGGAUUAACCCGGGCUACGCCCGGGAUUUUUAUUUUUUUCUAAUUUAAGUUGUUAAAUUAUUUAUAUUUAGGCUAUGAUUUAUAUUUAUAUAAAUGUUAAAAUGCAUGUCAUAAUUAAAUUUUAUUUUUAAAUUUUAACACGUUAAAUUAACGUAUUUUUUACUAUUUAAUAGUUUUUUGUAAUUUUAUUGGCUAUCUAGUUAUCAUAUUUAGCAAACUAUCUUUUGAGUGUUGGAAUAAAUGUUUUAGAGAUUUUAUUAAACUGCAGAGUAUUUUUGGAUCGACCAAUGCUCAACAUUCGAUCGAUCCGUAAAAGAUGGUCGAUCUCCUUGGCGAGGUAAGUACAAUUUUAGCAAAAAUAUCUUUUAUUUUCAAAUAUUAAGUAUAUAACUAUUCUUUUUAAUAUUUUUAAUUGUAUUUUUGAUUAAAUUAUUGUAUUAUAAUGGUUAUGUAAAUAUUUUUUGUGAUGUUUGAAUUUUUGUUGUUCGUAUACUAACCUAAUGAUAUUGAUGUUUAACAAUUUAUUGUUUUCUGGAAUAGAAAAUAAUGAUAUAUCAAAACGUAUCUAAUACUUGUUAAAUGAUAGUAUAAUGUAAAUUACAUCCAUUAUUGAAAAAACAUUUGUUGUUUUUAUUUUUAUUUUAAAUCAGAAAUUAUUUUUAUUUAAAAACAUUAUUCAUAUAUAAUAUAAUAGUUUAAGUUUAGAAGAUUAAUAUAUAUAUAUAUAUAUAAAUUAUGUGUAUUUUUUAAAAAUAAUUUAAGAUAUUAUAUAUUGAGUAUAUGAAUAAAAGCUGAAUUUCUUACCUUGAAAUCAGAUAUUUAUAUUUUUUAUCUUCAUGUUAUACUCCACCAAUCCAUCAUUGAUAUUUAUAACUCAGUAUGUUUUUUUAAAAAACUUAUUUUAAGUAAUAAACGAAUUUAAUAAAUUAAAUUCAUCACCUAUAAUGUUCUGUAAACUAUAUUUGAAAACUCUCUAAAUUAUAUUUUAAGCAUAAUAUUAUUAUUAUUUAAUUUAAGUUAUUUUAAACAUAAUAUAUGCUAAACCAACUUAAAUUAUAUUUAUAAUAGGACCAUCCUAAACCGGUUAGUAAACCAAAAACAAUACUAAACCAACAUGAACCAAUACCUGAUUCGGCGAGGAAUGAAGUGUUUCGGGAUAAACGCUUGAAUGAUUAUUAACUGAAAUGGUUUGAUCAUGAAAGAGUUAGUAUGAAUAUUAACAAUAAAAUUAUACAUUAGAUUAAUUUAAAUUUGUAAGAAUACCUUUGAGUCUAUGAAAAGCAAUUCAAUUCCCAUGAAUAAGUUUGGUUUUGGAAGUUGCGGGUUUCCCAACAAUGAAUCCACCUAACAAAAAGUUUGUUGUUAUAAAAAAAUCUCAUUCAAGGUCAUUAAAGGUUUCUGGGACGGCAAGUUGAUAGUGAAACCUUUUUUUUGCUCGAGUGCUUUGAAAUUUUCCUUAAUAGUGUGAGGUUGAUGUGGAUGGAAUAAUGAGUUUUAUAGGGACUUUCUUGAUGUAAAACUAUAAUUUUUUUUUUGUUUAAUGUGGUAUUUCCAUUUUUAUAUAAUUUACUACCAUUUUAAGAUAGAAGUACAUUUUAAGAUAGAUGCUUAAAUCUUAAUGUACUUUUUCCAUUUUUUAAAAUGUUUAUUUCCAUUUCUUAUAUUUUUAUUUACGUAAUAUCAAUAUUUAUAUUUUUAAAUAGAUAUUUAAAUAUUAAUGUUUUUUCCAUUUUUUAAAUUGUGUAUUUACUUAUAUUAUAUAUUUUACAUUUUAAGAUAGAUGUUUAAUGCUUGAUGAACUUUUUCCACUUUUUAAAAAUUGUGUAUUUACUUAUUAUUACAUAUAUAAUUCAUAUAUUAUAUAUUUACAUUAUUUACUUAUUAUUUAUUUUCAUGUAUAUGUAUUUCCAUUUCUUGUACUUUUAAUUUACUUAAUAUCUCUAUUUUACAUUUUAAGAUAGAUGUUUAAAUCUUAUGUAUGUUUUCCAUUUUUUUAAAUUGUAUAUUUCCAUUUGUUAUACUUUCUAUUUACGUAAUAUCUAUUUUAAAUUUUAAUAUAUAUUUUUAACUCUUAAUGUAAUUUCCCAUUUUUUAAUUUGGUAUUCACUUAUAUUAUAUAUUUACUUAUUAUUUAUUUUCUUUAUAUUGUGUAUUUCUAUUUCUUAUACUUUCUAUUUACUAAUAAUUUUAUAUUUCAAGAUUGAUUUACAUUUUAAGAUAGAUGUUUAAAUACUAAUGUAUUUUUUCCAUUUUUUUUAAUUGUGUAUUUCCUUUUUCUUAUACUUUCUAUUUACUUAAUAUUUAUAUUUUACAUUUUAAGAUAGAUGUUUAAUAUUUAAUGUACUCUUUCCAUUUUUUAAAAAUUGUGCAUUUACUUAUUAUUGUAUAUAUAAUUCGUAUAUUUAUAUAUUUAUAAUAUUUACUUAUUAUUUAUUUUUCUAUAUAUUGAGUAUUUCUCUUUCUUAUACUUUAUAUUUAGUUAAUGUCUAUAUUUUAUAUUUUAAGAUAGAUGUUUAAAUCUUUACGUAUUUUUCCAUUUUUAAUGUAAAACGGCAAUGUUUAAUAGAAGAACUUGGACAAAUAGUCAAAUAGUUAUAUUUAUUUUUUUUUUUCUUUUUUUAAUAAAAAGGUAAUGUUACAUUAUGAAGCUAACCCGUUUUUUAGUGAACAAUGGUAAUCUUACAUAUGUUUAAUGUAGUUUUUCCAUUUUUUUAUGUUGUAUGUUUACAUAUUAUUGUUAUUUUUAAAUGUAAAAUGGUAAUUUACAUAUGUUUAAUGCAGUAUUUCCAUUUUUUAUGUUGUAUGUUUACAUAUUAUUUAUUAUUUUCGAAAUUAUAUAUAAUUUUUUUUUUACAAAAUAGUAAUGUUACAUUAUGGAGAUAAGCCGUCUUUUUUUUCAGUGAAAAAUGGUAAUCUUACAUAUGUUUAAUGUAGUUUUUUCAUUUUUUAUGUUGUAUGUUUACAUAUUAUUUUCUUAAAAUAAAAAUGUAAAAUGCUAAUCUUACAUAUGUUUAAUGUAGUAUUUUCAUUUUUAUGUUGUAUGUUUUACAUAUAUUUAUUAUUUUCAAAAUUAUAUAUAAUGUUUUUUGUUUUUUUUUAUAAAACGGUAAUGUUACAUUAUGGAGAUAAGCCGUCUUUUUUUUAAGUGAAAAAUAGUAAUCUUACAUAUGUUUAAUGUAGUUUUUACAUUUUUUUAUGCUGUAUGUUUACAUAUUUUUUAUAAUUUUCGAAAAUAAGUAAUAUUAAAAUGUAAAACUAUAUUUUAAUGCCAUGUGUCAUCUUUCGAGAUUAUAUUUUAUAUUUACUUAUUAUUUAUUUUUCUUUAUAUUGUGUAUUUUUAUUUCUUAUACUUUCUAUUUACUAAUAAUUUUAUAUUUUAAGAUUGAUUUACAUUUUAAGGUAGAUGUUUAAAUACUAACGUAAUUUUUCCAUUUUUUUAAAUUGUGUAUUUCCUUUUCUUAUACUUUCUAUUUGCGUAAUAUCUAUAUUUUACAUUUUAAGAUAAAUGUUUAAAUCUUAAUAUACAUUUUCCAUUGUUUUUAAGUUGUGUAUUUCUUUUUCUUAUAUUUUCUAUUUACUUAAUAUCUAUAUUUUACAUUUUAAUAUAGAUGUUUAAUAUUUAAUAUAUUCUUUCCAUUUUUAAAAAAUUGUGCAUUUACUUAUUAUUGUAUAUAUAAUUCGUAUAUUUAUAUAUUUAUAAUAUUUACUUAUUAUUUAUUUUUUUAUAUAUUGAGUAUUUCUCUCUUUUAUACUUUAUAUUUAGUUAAUGUCUAUAUUUUAUAUUUUAAGAUAGAUGUUUAAAUCUUUACGUAUUUUUCUAUUUUUAAUGUAAAACGGCAAUGUUUAAUAGAAGAACUUGGACAAAUAGUCAAACAUAUUUAUGUUUAAUGUAGUAUUUCCAUUUUUAUGUUGUAUGUUUUACAGAUAUUUAUUAUUUUCGAAAUUAUAUAUAAUGUUUUUUUUUUUUUUUAUAAAACGGUAAUGUUACAUUAUGGAGAUAAGCCGUCUUUUUUUUUAAGUGAAAAAUAGUAAUCUUACAUAUGUUUAAUGUAGUUUUUCCAUUUUUUAAUGCUGUAUGUUUACAUAUUUUUUACAAUUUUCGAAAAUAAUUAAUAUUAAAAUGUAAAACUAUAUUUUAUGGCACGUGUCAUCUUUCGGGAGAAAUGUUUUCCGCUGAUGUGGACGCCCUAUGGAGCCUCAAAAGCUCCCUUUUAUUAGUAGAGUUUAUUCUUAUACUUUCUAUUUACUAAUAAUUUUAUAUUUUAAGUUUGAUUUACAUUUUAAGAUAGAUGUUUAAAUACUAAUGUACUUUUUCCAUUUUUUUAAAUUGUGUAUUUCCUUUUCUUAUACUUUCUAUUUGCGUAAUAUCUAUAUUUUACAUUUUAAGAUAGAUGUUUAAAUCUUAAUAUACUUUUUCCAUUGUUUUUAAGUUGUGUAUUUCUUUUUCUUAUAUUUUUCUAUUUACUUAAUAUCUAUAUUUUACAUUUUAAGAUAGAUGUUUAAUAUUUAAUAUACUCUUUCCAUUUUAAAAAAAUUGUGCAUUUACUUAUUAUUGUAUAUAUAAUUCGCAUAUUUAUAUAUUUAUAAUAUUUACUUAUUAUUAUUUUUUAUAUAUUGAGUAUUUCUCUUUUUUAUACUUUAUAUUUAGUUAAUGUUUAUAUUUUAUAUUUUAAGAUAGAUGUUUAAAUCUUUACGUAUUUUUCUAUUUUUAAUGUAAAACGGCAAUGUUUAAUAGAAGAACUUGGACAAAUGGUCAAACAUAUUUAUGUUUAAUGUAGUAUUUCCAUUUUUAUGUUGUAUGUUUUACAUAUAUUUAUUAUUUUCGAAAUUAUAUAUAAUGUUUUUUGUUUUUUUUUUAUAAAACGGUAAUGUUACAUUAUGGAGAUAAACCGUCUUUUUUCAAGUGAAAAAUAGUAAUCUUACAUAUGUUUAAUGUAGUUUUUCCAUUUUUUAAUGUUGUAUGUUUACAUAUUUUUUACAAUUUUCGAAAAUAAUUAAUAUUAAAAUGUAAAACUAUAUUUUAUGCCACGUGUCAUCUUUCGAGAAAAUUUUUUUCCGCUGAUGUGGACGCCCUAUGGAGCCUCAAAAGCUCCCUUUUAUUAGUAGAGAUUUGCGAUACUUAAUUUGUUUAAAUCUAUUUUUGGAAAAUAACAACUAGUAUGUUCCCCGAUUUAAAGAAAUUUUUAUAAUGUUGACAAAAAAAAAAAAAAAUUUAUCGUCUAAUGUCAAAAAAAAAAAAAGGAAAUUUUUAUCGUCCAAACACAAGAAAAUUUUUAGUUGAUGAAUGUUGUUCAUAAAUCGUAACUAUAUAUGUAAAACAAGAAUUAUCAAAAAAAUUCAGAAAAUUUAAUUAUAAGAGUUUUCAGAAAAAUUCUGAAAGCUUUUUGGAAACUUCUACAAGAUUUCAAAAGGUUUAUCAAGUCUCGGAAUUUUCUUAGGUAAUUAAAAAUUAUCAAUAUAGACUAAAACUACUAUCACAUAUUGGAUGGACCUGGUACUAUGUACAAACUGAUAUGAGCUAACUUAUAUUGCAUGCUCAGAUGUUGAGAACAGUUCAUAUGAUUUAAAAUAGGCUCAUCACUUUCUUGAAUUAGCUAUGACAUGUGUUAAUCAAUCCUUCUUCUUUGGAAAGACCAAAUAUGUCACAUGUAGUUCGUGACCG
This 5737-nucleotide long non-coding RNA is filed under the name Brassica rapa (field mustard). RNAcentral describes it as "long non-coding RNA (BRAP_LNC007551)". Lineage: Eukaryota; Viridiplantae; Streptophyta; Magnoliopsida; Brassicales; Brassicaceae. The record is from RNAcentral.